Uranotaenia lowii is the source of this 903-nucleotide long non-coding RNA. RefSeq lists it as uncharacterized. The record is from RefSeq and is a predicted model, not a curated record. NCBI's taxonomy places the organism in Eukaryota, Metazoa, Arthropoda, Insecta, Diptera, Culicidae. The transcript has 4 exons.
GAAAAAUUGCGUUAUUCAUUAAAUGUGUUGUGAUUACACCUUCAUCAUAACUAAUCGGUUGUUGCUCAAAAAUUGUAUAUCCCGAAUUCAAUUUUGGGUAGUUUUGGGUUGCCAAUAUACAGAUGUGAACUUAAAUUCGAUUAGUCAUGCUCUGUAUAAAAAGUUUGCUGUUGUUGGAAAGCUUUCGACGGGGAUGUCAAAGCAUUCAAGUUUUUCAAUUUCGCUACGGGUGUCACGAUAGUUUCAAUGUUUCAUCGUUAGAAAGUCGAAAUCAUCAUAAGAAUCUCACAAAAGGUAUGUAUUCUCACUAUAUAGCAUCAUUGUUUAACUUUGCUUUGCGAUUUCAGAAAUAUUGUCCACACAAUUGCUGAAUAAGGGUGUUUCCCAUAAUCGGUCUUUACCGCAGCCGGAAAAAGCCAUUGAUUGGAUUCGAAGGUAGCUAGUGCUUGAAAACGCCUGGAUAUGCUAUUCCGGAAAGCUGAAAUAGUGCUUCGGAAGGUUAGCAUUUCCUUUGAUCGGAAUGAUGCUCUGAAGAACCUAUUGCUGCGUAUUUCUUCAAAGCCCCUAUCCGACAGAAUGUAGUCAACGAAAUUUUGCAGUUGAUGAGCCGUCGCCGGAAAACGCAUCUACAGAAUUCCAGCUCUCCGGAAGUCAAUAAGCUGAAGGUUAAAAGCUAGAGGGUUGAUUUAUUCACCGGCAUAAAGGUGAAUGUACUUUCUAUGGACACAAUUCGUCAGGUACACCCAUCCAGGGUCACUCGAGAGGAUGCCAGUAGAAGUACAUGCGGAAUGCCAUUCAAAUCUGCAGGCUUAAAUCUGUUCAAAAGAUAUACUACAUUCUCAGGUGACUGGAUCGUACCGAAGCAAUUCCGUGUCGGAUGUUGGGACUGAUGAGCUCCACUUU